Homo sapiens (human) is the source of this 840-nucleotide long non-coding RNA. The record is from Ensembl. NCBI's taxonomy places the organism in Eukaryota, Metazoa, Chordata, Mammalia, Primates, Hominidae.
GUUUCCACAGUACUUUCAGUUUCUCUUCGUUUUGUUUUUCUUUUAUUUUUCUUGCUCCUCUUUCUACACACUGAAGUUGCUGUUGUUUUACAUUUACCUUUUAUUUAUUUGUAGUUUUUGAGGCAGGUUGGAGUGUAAGAAUGCAAUCUCGGCUUACAGCCGCCUCGACUUUCCAGGACUCCCUCAGGUGAUCUUCCUAUCUCAGCCUUCCAAGUGGCUGAGACUACAGGAAUCACUUAAUUCUGUGAUGUCGAAGCUGAAGUGAGCCGUGAUGAUGCCUUGCCCUCCAGUCUGAGUGUUUCAGAAGGUGGAGUUUCGCUCUUAUUGCCCAGGCUGGAGUUCAGUGGCGUGACCUCAGCUCACCGCAACCUCUGCCGCCUGUGUUCAAGAGAUUUUCCAGUCUUCACCCUUUCGAGUAGCUGAAACCACAGGCAAACACCUCCAGGCGUCAUCUCACGUGUCGAGGUGAUCUCGAACUUUUAGGCUCCAGAGAUCCUCCCGCAUCGGCCUCCCGGAGUGCUGUGAUGACACGCGUGGGCACGACGGAGUUUCACUCUUGUCGCCCAGGGUGGAGUACGAUGGCGGCUCUCGGCUCACCGCACCCUCCGCCUCCCAGGUUCAAGUGAUUCUCCUGCCUCAGCCUUCCCGAGUAGCUGGAAUGACAGAGAUGAGCCAUCGUGCCCGGCUAAUUUUUCUAUUUUUACUACAGAUGGGGUUUCUCCAUCUUGGUCAGGCUGGUCUUCAACUUCCGACCGUUGGAGAAUCUUAACUUUCUUGGUGGUGGUUGUUUUCCUUUUUCUUUUUUUUCUUUUCUUUUCUUUCCUUCUCCUCCCCCCCCAC